RNAcentral lists this ribosomal RNA (498 nucleotides) under uncultured bacterium. Its description in RNAcentral is "partial 16S ribosomal RNA". It matches the Rfam family "Bacterial small subunit ribosomal RNA", at positions 30 to 523 of the family's 1533-position model. The record is from RNAcentral.
AUUGAACGCUGGCGGCAUGCUUUACACAUGCAAAUCGAACGGUAACAGGUCUUCGGACGCUGACGAGUGGCGAACGGGUGAGUAAUACAUCGGAACGUGCCUAGUAGUGGGGGAUAACUACUCGAAAGAGUAGCUAAUACCGCAUGAGAUCUACGGAUGAAAGCAGGGGACCUUCGGGCCUUGUGCUACUAGAGCGGCUGAUGGCAGAUUAGGUAGUUGGUGGGGUAAAGGCUUACCAAGCCUGCGAUCUGUAGCUGGUCUGAGAGGACGACCAGCCACACUGGGACUGAGACACGGCCCAGACUCCUACGGGAGGCAGCAGUGGGGAAUUUUGGACAAUGGGCGAAAGCCUGAUCCAGCAAUGCCGCGUGCAGGAUGAAGGCCCUCGGGUUGUAAACUGCUUUUGUACGGAACGAAAAGCCUGGGGCUAAUAUCCCCGGGUCAUGACGGUACCGUAAGAAUAAGGACCGGCUAACUACGUGCCAGCAGCCGCGGUAA